Molecule: unclassified non-coding RNA, 232 nt
Filed under: uncultured fungus
Lineage: Eukaryota; Fungi
Description: sequence contains ITS1, 5.8S rRNA gene
Rfam family: 5.8S ribosomal RNA (bases 184-232)
Source: RNAcentral
UCUCCGUUGGUGAACCAGCGGAGGGAUCAUUACCGAGUUAUUCAACUCAUCAACCCUGUGAACUUACCUGUACGUUGCUUCGGCGGGAAUAGACGGCCCCGUAAAACGGGCCGCCCCCGCCAGAGGACCCUUAACUCUGUUUCUUUUAGUGUAUCUUCUGAGUAAAACAAGCAAAUAAAUUAAAACUUUCAACAACGGAUCUCUUGGCUCUGGCAUCGAUGAAGAACGCAGC